Molecule: long non-coding RNA, 359 nt
Filed under: Mytilus galloprovincialis (Mediterranean mussel)
Lineage: Eukaryota; Metazoa; Mollusca; Bivalvia; Mytilida; Mytilidae
Source: RNAcentral
UUGCAAGAGAAAUCUAUCACUCACUGAUUAAUUUACCUGAACAAAAAAUUGAACUGUCAAUGAUGGAAAUACAUGUACAAAUAAGUAAUUAUGAAACUGCAUGUGAUGUUGUAUUUAUUAAAUCAAUUACACAUUUUCAAUUUGUUUGAUAUAAACACUGAUUUAAAAAUUAAAAGUUGAUUUCUGAUCAAAUUUCAACAUUUUACCUAUUAAAAUUUGCUUUUUUUUAGUCUGUUCAUAAGUAAAAACUUGAAAUGAUAAUGUUUAAAUAAAGGUCUUCAUAAAUGUAUUCUUUAUAACUGAACAACCACAAAAAACAUGCAAAUUUUUUAAAACAUAAAUGCAUGCAGUAGUUAAAA